AGGAUUACAAGAGUGAGCUGGUAGUGUGUGGCUUGUGAUAUAAUAUUUAAUCAAAUUGAUUGUAUUGAGCAAUGAGUAAAGUACACCUUUGGUUGUGCCUUUGAUGACAUUUCCAAAUAUUAUUAAAUCACCAGAUGCCCUGGCCUAAUAAAUCAAUUGUACCCUGAUGGAUUUAUAAUAAUAUGGUAUUAUUGGAUGGUGAUGAUAGGUCACUGGGAACAGGUCCUUGAAGGAUAUGUCUCAUUCUAGACUUACCCUGUAUUCCCAAUAGGAAUAGUAUAUAUACUCUGCUUUCCAACUACCAUGAUGUAAAUGGUUCUGCUUUGCCAUGCCCUGAUAGAUUGACUCCAUGAGCUAAAGUAAAUAUUGUACUCAAGGCA
This is a long non-coding RNA of Perognathus longimembris pacificus (Pacific pocket mouse), 380 nucleotides long. RefSeq lists it as uncharacterized. NCBI's taxonomy places the organism in Eukaryota, Metazoa, Chordata, Mammalia, Rodentia, Heteromyidae. The record is from RefSeq and is a predicted model, not a curated record. The transcript is spliced from 2 exons.